Molecule: ribosomal RNA, 272 nt
Filed under: Klebsiella pneumoniae
Lineage: Bacteria; Pseudomonadati; Pseudomonadota; Gammaproteobacteria; Enterobacterales; Enterobacteriaceae
Description: partial 23S ribosomal RNA
Rfam family: Bacterial large subunit ribosomal RNA
Source: RNAcentral
GGGUUGUGAGGUUAAGCGACUAAGCGUACACGGUGGAUGCCCUGGCAGUCAGAGGCGAUGAAGGACGUGCUAAUCUGCGAAAAGCGUCGGUAAGGUGAUAUGAACCGUUAUAACCGGCGAUGUCCGAAUGGGGAAACCCAGUGCAAUUCGUUGCACUAUCGUUAACUGAAUACAUAGGUUAACGAGGCGAACCGGGGGAACUGAAACAUCUAAGUACCCCGAGGAAAAGAAAUCAACCGAGAUUCCCCCAGUAGCGGCGAGCGAACGGGGAG